Molecule: ribosomal RNA, 908 nt
Filed under: uncultured archaeon
Lineage: Archaea
Description: bacterial SSU rRNA
Rfam family: Archaeal small subunit ribosomal RNA
Source: RNAcentral
GUUGAUCCCGCCGGGACCCGACUGCUAUCAGAGUGGGACUAAGCCAUGCGAGUCGACACAGCAAUGUGUGGCAUACGGCUCAGUAACACGUAGUCAACAUGCCCAGGGGACGUGGAUAACCUCGGGAAACUGAGGAUAAACCGCGAUAGGUCACUACUUCUGGAAUGGGUAAUGACCCAAACCUAUAUGGCCCCUGGAUUGGACUGCGGCCGAUCAGGCUGUUGGUGAGGUAAUGGCCCACCAAACCUGUAACCGGUACGGGCUCUGAGAGGAGGAGCCCGGAGAUGGGCACUGAGACAAGGGCCCAGGCCCUAUGGGGCGCAGCAGGCGCGAAACCUCUGCAAUAGGCGAAAGCUUGACAGGGUUACUCUGAGUGAUCUCCGUUAAGGAGAUCUUUUGGCAUCUCUAAAAAUGGUGCAGAAUAAGGGGUGGGCAAGUCUGGUGUCAGCCGCCGCGGUAAUACCAGCACCCCGAGUGGUCGGGACGUUUAUUGGGCCUAAAGCAUCCGUAGCCGGUUCUACAAGUCUUCCGUUAAAUCCACCUGCUCAACAGAUGGGCUGCGGAAGAUACUAUGGAGCUAGGAGGCGGGAGAGGCAAGCGGUACUCGAUGGGUAGGGGUAAAAUCCGUUGAUCCAUUGAAGACCACCAGUGGCGAAGGCGGCUUGCCAGAACGCGCUCGACGGUGAGGGAUGAAAGCUGGGGGAGCAAACCGGAUUAGAUACCCGGGUAGUCCCAGCUGUAAACGAUGCAGACUCGGUGAUGAGUUGGCUUUAUGCCAACUCAGUGCCGCAGGGAAGCCGUUAAGUUUGCCGCCUGGGGAGUACGGUCGCAAGACUGAAACUUAAAGGAAUUGGCGGGGGAGCACCACAAGGGGUGAAGCCUGCGGUUCAAUUGGAGUCAACGCCGGG